CGUACCGGAAGGUGUGGCUGGAUCACCUCCUUAUAGGGAGACCUCACACUACCAUAACCGAAACAAAAUGGAUUAAGUUAGGUAGAUGUCAUCCCAAGGUCGAGCGAUAUUUUCGAGAGGGCUUUCAAACUUUAUAUUCUAGUUCAGCUAGCUCUGGGCUAUUAGCUCAGUUGGCUAGAGCGCACCCCUGAUAAGGGUGAGGUCCCCAGUUCAAGUCCGGGAUAGCCCACUUAUCACCUAGCAAAUAGUUAAUACCACCAUUAAUAGUGUGUGGCGGUUAAUUAAAUGAACUAGGGGGUUUAGCUCAGUUGGUAGAGCGCCUGCUUUGCAAGCAGGAUGUCAGCGGUUCGAGUCCGCUAACCUCCAUCUGUUAGAUCGACAACAGAGACAGCUAACUAGAAUAAAAAUUGCCAACAGUGGAAAUGACUUCAGCACCUACUAUCUUGAGUAGUCUGCUGGACUUAAUGUCCAGUUCGCACCUUGACAACUGCAUAAUAAUCAACAGUCACGUAGUCGUAAUUAACAUUACAGACAAUCCAAAAACAAAUCAUAGAAACUUGUGACGUAAGUUCUAGAGUGAAUUAACUUGUUAAUUUGCUUAAGAAUAAACAAACAAAGUGGUCAAGCUACAAAGGGCUUACGGUGGAUACCUAGGCAUACAGAGGCGAUGAAGGACGUAGUUACCGACGAAACGUCUCGGGGAGCUGGCAGCAGGCUUAGAUCCGAGAAUCUCCGAAUGGGGCAACCCUUAAUACUGCCACCUGAAUCUAUAGGGUGGCAAGAGCUAACCCAGCGAAUUGAAACAUCUUAGUAGCUGGAGGAAGGGAAAGCAAAAGCGAUUCCCCAAGUAGCGGCGAGCGAAACGGGAACAGCCUAAACCAGAGUGCAUGCACUCUGGGGUUGUGGGACAGCAACGUGGACUAGAGCGAUUAGACGAAGCAUCUGAAUAGUGCAUCAGAGAGGGUGAUAAUCCCGUAGUCAAAAAUCUAACUAGCCUAGCUGAAU
This 1005-nucleotide ribosomal RNA is filed under the name Synechocystis sp. EERGCy-009. RNAcentral's name for it is "partial 16S ribosomal RNA". The stretch from base 620 to 1005 matches the Rfam family "Bacterial large subunit ribosomal RNA", at positions 1 to 406 of the family's 2925-position model. Lineage: Bacteria; Bacillati; Cyanobacteriota; Cyanophyceae; Synechococcales; Merismopediaceae. The record is from RNAcentral.